RNAcentral lists this ribosomal RNA (284 nucleotides) under uncultured Pseudomonas sp. RNAcentral describes it as "partial 16S ribosomal RNA". It matches the Rfam family "Bacterial small subunit ribosomal RNA", at positions 1099 to 1382 of the family's 1533-position model. Lineage: Bacteria; Pseudomonadati; Pseudomonadota; Gammaproteobacteria; Pseudomonadales; Pseudomonadaceae. The record is from RNAcentral.
CAACCCUUGUCCUUAGUUACCAGCACGUUAUGGUGGGCACUCUAAGGAGACUGCCGGUGACAAACCGGAGGAAGGUGGGGAUGACGUCAAGUCAUCAUGGCCCUUACGGCCUGGGCUACACACGUGCUACAAUGGUCGGUACAAAGGGUUGCCAAGCCGCGAGGUGGAGCUAAUCCCAUAAAACCGAUCGUAGUCCGGAUCGCAGUCUGCAACUCGACUGCGUGAAGUCGGAAUCGCUAGUAAUCGUGAAUCAGAAUGUCACGGUGAAUACGUUCCCGGGCCUU